GAUGAACGCUAGCGGCAGGCUUAAUACAUGCAAGUCGAACGGUAAGUAGUGUAGCAAUACAUUACCAAGAGUGACGUACGGGUGCGUAACACGUAUGCAACCUACCUUGUACAGGAGUAUAGCUCGGGGAAACUCGAAUUAACCCUCCAUAAGAUCGUGGUGUGGCAUCACACAGCGAUAAAAACUCAGGUGGUACAAGCUGGGCAUGCGUCUGAUUAGUUAGNGGGCGGGGGUAACGGCCCACCAAGACGAUGAUCAGGUAGGGGAACUGAGAGGUUGAUCCCCCACACUGGCACUGAGAUACGGGCCAGACUCCUACGGGAGGCAGCAGUAGGGAAUAUUGGUCAAUGGAUGCAAGUCUGAACCAGCCAUGCCG
Molecule: ribosomal RNA, 376 nt
Filed under: uncultured bacterium
Lineage: Bacteria
Description: bacterial SSU rRNA
Rfam family: Bacterial small subunit ribosomal RNA
Source: RNAcentral